This 7198-nucleotide long non-coding RNA is filed under the name Homo sapiens (human). RNAcentral's name for it is "HSALNT0301263". The record is from RNAcentral. Lineage: Eukaryota; Metazoa; Chordata; Mammalia; Primates; Hominidae.
CUUCACACUUCACUUCAUCCCUUCUACCCAUCACAACAUACAAAGCAACUACACCUGGAUUUUUCCAAACAACUUUUAUUUCCUCAGAGUCUUCCUUAAUCCUAUGGAACAAGAAGCUGCCACUGAAUAGGGCCCAGUAUAGGGGCUUGCUUUUCUACUCCCUCCCCCCAAUAUAAAAAUAUAGACUUUUUUUUGUGGUCCCAAAAUCUUGUGCUGCGGAGGGAGGGAAGGGGUGGCAGGUCCCUGUUUUGUUCUGUCUCAAGGUGAUACUCUGUAAUGCCUUGGACAGCGUGGCUGGCAUUCCAAGGACUUAACGGCUGUCACAUGGAAUCAGCGGCCUGGAGGGGAACUAGCAUAUUUCCCACUGUUACCCCAUCUUGGGGCUAUAUCCUGGGCUUGAACAUAAAGGCAUUAUCAGACCCGGGGAGAAACAGUCAGUGGGGGAGAUUUAGGGACAAAACAAACCUCAGGUUGGCCCAAGGGACCCCUGCUGUAACAAUUCCAGGAUGGGGAGUCAGAUAGACUACAGGAUAUAGGAGAAAAGGCAGGGGCAGAGCGGGGCCGUGGGGGCCUGGCCUGAGGCAGCCUGCAACAGAAAAGAGAGAGGAAUCAGGGCUGUGAAAACUCUCCUCCUCUUCUGUUCUGCUAACCAGGGGCUGGGAAGUGAAAGAAGUGGAGCGAGAUGAAGAUGGGUAAGGAUGGGCAAGUUGGUUACUGCACAGUGGUUUGACGCUGGAACCAGCCAGCUCCUAGACCUUAGGCCCUGACUAAAAGUUGUUUUCUUUUGCUUUGGAUUGAAGACUUGGCCAUGGUGGGGGAAAAAAAAAUCAGGGACUAGAUUCUUAAUGGAAGUACAUUUAGUCUUUGUGCUCAAAAGGAGUAGGGAAGCAGAAAAUUAUUCUGAAUGACAGAAAUGGGAAUGAGGGGACAGAAGUGAGGGGUGGUGUGAGGGACUGGACCCAAGUGCUCACCCUGGUGUAGCAGAGCAGGAUCCCAGCUCCAGCUCACUGCUCUCCCUGGUCCGGGGGGUAGGGGAUGUGGGGCCUGAAGAGCCUUUCAUCCCUCUGCGAGUCGGCGGUGAGCCCCGGCCCAACCUGGGCCUAGCCUGUGUGGACAGGGUUUGCGCUAAGAGGCUGGAUUCUUCCAUGAGUUUUUUGCUUUUAGUUUGCUUCUAGAGUUUCCAUGCAUAAGAGUGUUGUAGUAUAGGGAUCAGUAGAGGUACUGGGACAUUGAAUUCUAGCUGAGAGGGUGAGGCAAGAUAAUAGCCAGAGAAGUCCUGGAUUCAGUCCAUGACUAUGCACUCCAAGUCUAUAACUAGGGGUGGCAAACGGAUCCAGCAUUUAACCGCCAUGGCUACACCAUGACUAAGGUCUGGGUGAGUAGAGAAACACUGUGUAGAAAGAUAGUGGAGGGUUGGUAGACCUCUCUCAGAGCCCUCUAUGCUUUAGCCCCUGCCAGAGCAGUGUACACUUCACCCAUCCAGUCAGCCUCUGCCUAUACUCAGCUUUACCUAGCAUGGGGAUCUGGACUGAAUCGGAGUUGGUGGCAGGGCUGUUCCUAGCAGCAGCAACCAAAUGUGUUACCUGGGGAAUCCGGGACCCCUCCUGGCGGAAACUCUCCUCGGACAGGUCUGGGCAGAAAGAGAGGAGAAGCUAAGGGCAGGGGCAGGGAAAGCCAAAGCUAGCAGGCUAAGGUUGGGGUAUAUCUGGCAGGGACACAGGUUGAAAGCAAGCAAAUGACCUGGCUGAUGGGGAUGGUGGAGGGCAGGAAGGGGACUGGACAGACAGGCACUCAGGCACCAGAGAAGCUCUCUGAUGUGGCCAAGGGUAGAUGCAGUAAAGCAGUGCUGAGCAUUUUCCCUCCCACUACCCAGAGGAACAGUGCCUUGCUGGGUUCUGCCAGAGUAGCUAUGCUGGAGACCCAAAAAUAUUACCUGCAAUCGAGUCUUGAUGCAGGGCAUCCGAGCUCCAGUCCCUAGCAGACCUUUCCCGAUUACCAUGACAGCCUCUGGUUUGUCUCCAGAGGACAAGAGUGAGCAACUGCUCCCUAGGGAACAGAGGAAACUGAUCAGGGUAGGGGUCACAGAGAAGAGGAGGUAACUUCCAAAGGAUCAGGGUUUCUUAACCUUGGCACGUUGACAAUUUGGGUUGGAUAAUUCUUUAUCGUGGGGAGUAGUCUUGUGCAUUGUAGGAUGUUUCGCAGCAUCCCUAGCCUCUAAACAAUUUAUGCUGUUUCCUCAUCUCCCCCCUCCUCAGUGUAACAACCAAAAAUGUCUCCAGAUGUUGCCUGAUGUCACCUGGCAGCAAAAUCACCCCUGGUUGAGGCUCUAGUCUGGUGGUCCAAGGGGUGGAGCAGCAACUCCAGGCUAGAAUCGGAACGCACCCAAGCUUAACUCCUGUGUCAGUUUAUACUGCCGCAAUCAUAUGUUUAGCAUUUGAGGAUCAAGUCAGCUCUACCCAGGACUGGUGGGUUCAGUGCUACCCAUUGAGGAGAGUUGACAGGUUGGGAGUAGGGGUCUUUGAAUGAGGUAGAACAUGUUGGACUAGAGUCUUAAAAUCAUUCCCAUCCCUUUCUUUAUAUAGCUGGGUCUAUAAUUUAAAGGAGAAGAGAUGGCUUUGUGUGAAUGAUACGGCUACACACAGCAUUUAGCAGUGUUGACAGGAGAAAGUACCGUCAUGCUUUUUUCAUUCUCCUGUUUUGUCUAGUGUUGCCCAGCUCCUGGAGUCAGGGAAUUUGCAUAAGUAGCAUUUUGCAGGUAGACAAAAGUCUUCAGGUUCCUCAACUGAUAAAAUGAGAUUAAGUGUGUAGAGCAGUGCCUGGCACAUAGUAAAUGUUCAGUAAAUGUUAACUAUUGUUUUAUUACACAGACACAUUAAUAAAUUCCAGCUUCCUAUACAAAGGCACCAGUGUUAGAGGUUUAGGAUACCAAGAGGAUAAGUGAUGCCCCUGGUCUCCCAACUAGGCUUAAAGAACCUGGCCUGGCCAUGGAGGAGGCUGGCAAACCCAGAUUUCAGUGGCAGUGGGUACAGACCUGGUAUGUUGAAUGAAUCAGGCAGUAGACAGGAGCCCAGCUUGUGUGAGGAGGCUGGGCCAGAACUAGUAGGAGCUGGGGAUGGAGCGAGGCUGCCUGCAGGACGAUGGUUCAGGGGCUGCUGCUGCCGUCUCCUGUCCUGGCUUCGGGGCUCUGAGUGGAAGAGAUACAAGCAGAUAAAAGGGCAAAUAAGUGGGGCACUAUGAGGCAGCCUUCACUGACCUGCUGGCUUCCGUGGUCAAAAGAUGCCAGUUUUCAAGCUUGUCAUCAGACCCACAUCCCUCUCCUGAAGUAACUAUUAAUAUAAGAUGGGUAGAAAGACCUACUAUUUAUUACAGUUAUCCAUUCUCCACCAGCCUUCAUCCUGCUAGUUUUUUUUUUUUUUUUUUUUUUUAAAGGUUUCCACUCUGUCAUCCAGGCUGAAGAAGUGCACAAUGGCACGAUCAUGGCUCACCGAGCCUCAGCCUCCUAGGCUCAGGUGAUCCUCCCACCUAGCCUCCUGAGCAGCUGGCACUAUAGGUGCCCGCCACCAUGCUCAGCUAAUUUUUUUUUUGUUUUGUUUUUGAGACAGAGUCUCGCUUUGUUGCCCAGGCUGGAGUGUGGUGGUGCGAUCUUGGUUCACUGCAACCUCCGCCUCCCGGGUUCAAGCGAUUCUCCUGCCUCAGGCUCCCGAGUAGCUGGGAUUACAGGCGCAUGCCACCAUGCCUGGCUAAUUUUUGUAUUUUUAGUAGAGACAGGGUUUCACCAUGUUGGUCAGGGUGGUCUCAAACCCCUGACCUUCUGAUCCACCCGCCUUGGCUUCCCACAGUGCUGGGAUUACAGAUAGGUGUGAGCCACCGCGCCCAGCCUAAAUUUUGUAUUUUUAGUAGAGACGGGGUUUUGCCAUGUUGCCCAGGCUGGUCUUGAACUCCUAGGCUCAAGAGAUCCACCCACCUCCGCCUCCCAAAGUGUUGGGAUUACAGGUGUGAGCCACCGCACCUGGCCAGUUUAUUCUUUUGGCAAAGAAGUUACUGAGCUUGGCUAACACAGCUUUCCUUGGUUCCCCUCUUACCACUGAUUGCUUCUCUUCCAGCUGUUCUUCCUGCCCCUUAAAUGUCAAGUCUUCCCCACCAUUCUGUCCUUGGGCCUCUCCUGCUCUACUUACUCUUAAACUCCCAAAUCACUCUGUAGCCCUUUUCUCCUGAAAUCCAGCUCUAAUUGUCCACUGGAGAUUUUUUUCCCAAGAAAGUCCCCUUGACAAAACAAAACUCAUUCUCUCCCUUUCUUUCAUUCUCCCUGUCUUCAUGCAAAACCCAACUGCUAGAAACCUUGUUUCAUCUUUCUACUAUUCCUCUCUUAGAUUUGCAUUUGUGUAAUCAAAUCCUACAAUUCUAUCUCUGCAUUCACCUGAGGUUUUUUUUUUUUUUUUUUUUGGAGACAGGGUCUCACUCUGUCACCUAGGCUGUAGUGCAGUGGCAUGAACAUGGCUCACUACAAACUUGACCUCCUGCAUCCCAAGUAGCUGGGACAACAGGCACACGCCACCAAGCCCAGCUAAUUUUUAAAUUUUUUGUGGAGAUGGAGUCUCACCAUGUUGCCCAGGGUGGUCUGGAACUCAUGGGCUCAAGCGAUCCUCCUGCUUCAGUUCCCAAAGUGCUGGGAUUACAGGUGUGAGCCAUUGCACUGGGCUUGAAGAUCUAAAGGAUGAAGUCUAAACUUUUGAACACUACACAUUCAAAGCCUUGCCCACUAUAGUUCCAGUCUGCAAAUCCUUAGUAGGAUGCUGAUUUGAUCCUUCAUACCCUCUGCUAUAGACCCCAUGGCUACUAGUUGUGUGUGGUUCCUCUGGAACUGUUUCCUUUUCUAGUGAAACCAUGACCAUCUUUCAUGUCCCAUCUCAAAUGUUACCUCUCUUACUUGAAGCUUACUUGACCAUUACAGGCAACAUUAAUUGUUCUCUUCUCAUUACCUUCAUCCUUUGUUUGUGUGGCUAGUAGUUCAUGGUUUCUGUUUAAUUAAGUUAGUAUGUGUAAAGUACUUAAAGGCACAUACUACUCAAUAAACAUAAGCUAAUAUUUUUUCUAACUGGAACUUGAGUUUCUUGGGAGUAGGGACUUUGUUGCCUCCAACACUAUAUAUCCCAGUGCCUGUAAAAUGCUGCCUGAAAAACCAGAGACCUUAAUCAAUGUUUUGUUUACUUGAACAGCAGACACCAUGAGCUGGAUCAAUCAUCUGUGGGAGUCUAAAGGCAUACAGUUAUAUCCUUUGGGGCAGCUGUCUCUGGUCCACUCAUGUCUCGAGACUUAUUACUACAAGUUCUGAAGGGUGGGGCCCAGGGGGACAGAUGGUAAAUGGAUGGGGUAGGGAGGCUUGCAGCUUUGGCGUGUCCUUCCUCAUCACAGAGGAACAGCAGGUGCCAAAUGCUCUCAAACUGAUGGGCUAUUAACUUUUCAUAGAACUGAAUUCACCAGAGGUGCCAGCAUGCCAACUGACCAUUAAUAAACGUGUUGGAUAUGAAAAUCCUCUAACUUAAGAAGUGACAGUAACUUCAUCUUCCCAGCCACACUGGGAAUUAGCAGGCAGUGACAAGAAUACUUUUGAAAGGUCCAAACCAGGUCAGGCACGGUGGCUCACACCUGUAAUCCCACCACUUUGGGAGGCUGAGGCAGGCGGAUCACUGAGUUCGGGAGUUCGAGACCAGCCUGACCAACGUGGAGAAACCCCGUUUCUACUAAAAAUACAAAAAAUUAGCCAGGCGUGGUGGUGAGCGCCUGUAAUCCCAGCUACUCCAGAGGCUGAGGCAGGAGAAUCACCUGAACUCGGGAAGCGGAGAUUGCAGUGAGCUGAGAUCGGCCACUGCACUCCAGCCUGGGCGACAGAGUGAGACUGUCUCAAAAAAAAAAAAAAAAAAAAAAGGUUCCAAACCAAAAUGGAAAAAAAAAAAAUUGAAUGGAAAAAAAAAAUCGAUACUUGUAUGAAUAAAGAAGAAAGGGAGAGAUCUCAGGAUGGAAGCUACUCUAUUAUGAGGAGAUAUGCUGGGUACCAAUUAUAGGUUAAGACGGUGGUCAAGAGUCAAAAACGCCAGGCACGGUGGCUCAUGUGCCUUGGGAGGCUGAGGCGGCUGGAUCACUUGAGUCCGGGAGCUUGAGACUAGGCUGGGCAACUUGGUGAAACCCCAUCUCUACUAAAAAAAGAAAUACAAAAAUCAGCCAGGUGUGGUGGUGUGCACCUGUAGGCCCAGCUACUAGGGAGGCUGAGGCUGGAGGAUCACUUGAGCCAGGGACACGAAGGUUGGAGUGAGCUGUGAUCACGCCACUGCACUCCAGCCUGGGUGACAGAGCGAGACUGUCUCAAAAAAAAAAAAAAAAGUCAAAAACAACCAGAUGUUAGGGGGCUAGUGAGAGUUGUUGGCACAGGUUGCCAAUAGGAUAACAGAAGUCAAGACUCGUGGCCAUAGUCAAAUAACCUAAAACAUUAGCUACCACCAAUGACAGAGAUAGUCUAGGGCCCAGAGCCAAGUAAUUCUGUGAUUAAAAUGGAUGUCAGGAUGAUGUCCAGCUGACAGUGCACAGUAGGCAGAAAUCAUGAACUUGAUAGAGGAAAUAGUUUAGAUAAUUUGAGAAAUAUCUACACACACAGGCAUGCUGAAACCAUAUUAAGGGACAAACCUUCACCCUACCCCAGGAAAGGGUAAAAGCAAGUGAGAAAGAACAAGCAAGAGUGCAAGAGUGAUGUGAUCAGCUCUGCUUCCAGAGGUUAUGAAAUGGUAUCUUAUGGCAACCAGCCAGAUGUUCCAUUUUGGGGGUGGUAGGAUAGUACUGGGCAAAGGUCUAAGAGGUCUGAGGGGAGACUGAUCUCCCCUUGAAUGAGUCAGAAUGGGUGUUCUAAGGUCUCACUGUUUACAGCAGCAGUUACUUGACUUGUGCCAAGGUCCUGUGUGUCAUCCUCCCUGAACGUCUUUGGAACCGUCCCUAGCACUCCAGAUCUUAGUGAAUCCCUGGGACAAUCACAGACCUGAUUUAUGCCCUCUGAGGGGUAGAAAGGUGGGACAAGCAUUCUUUUUUUUUUUUUUUGAGACGGAGUCUCGCUCUGUCGCCCAGGUUGGAGUGCAGUAGCGCGAUCUGGGCUCACUGCCAGCUCCGCCUCCUGGGUUCACGCCAUUCUCCUGCCUCAGCCUUCCGAGUAGCU